Non-coding RNA from Misgurnus anguillicaudatus (oriental weatherfish), 3249 nucleotides. The record is from RefSeq and is a predicted model, not a curated record. NCBI's taxonomy places the organism in Eukaryota, Metazoa, Chordata, Actinopteri, Cypriniformes, Cobitidae.
UAACAACCCAGUCUCAUGUAAAAACGUACCCUGACUACGUUGGUCCAAUUUGCAAAACGUAGAGGGGUUACAAUAAUGGCCCUAGAAUUGUAUGACUGUUACAUUUUUUUUCGCCUAUUCUUUUAAUGGCCCUUGAAUUGUAUGACUCUUACGUUUUUUUUUUCGUCCAAGUCACGUGACUUUCAAGCUACCGGCCGUGAGAACAAAAAACAUGGCGGACAUUCUCUCAUUUUUAGUGGAAAAAUCUAUAUUUUGAGUUAGUUUCUGAAUAAAAAGAAGUUUUGAUUACAUUUCUAGCGAGAAAUAUAUAUUUUAUUUUCAUAAUAUUCACUCAGUGAAUUUACAUAAUCAUCGCUUGCUCGAUUUUACCCAGAUUUUUCAGAUCUCGCCAGAAUAAUGUGAAACUGAUACGUUUUGGUUGCUAUGGACACUGCCAGGGCUCGUCACAUGACGUCUUUUAAAGACUUUAUUAAAACCGCGUUCAGCUACAGGUAAAACAACAUUCAGAGGUGAUUUUAACAACGCUCCACGGCGCGUGAGAGUAAGCAUUUUAAGCGUUUUCUGAUCAUGUAGUUAAGUGCUUUUAUUAGACGUGAUGCAUGCUGGGUGGGAAAUUAUUUUUUAUCAAAGACUCGUUGAUGGUAAUUAAUAUAGAUAUGAAUAUACAUUUUGCAACCCUGUAUCACAUGAAAUACGUUCUGAGGAAACUAUUUUGCAAAUCGCAAUUACGUUACAUGCCAACAUAUAAGCAGUGCUGUUACGUUGGUAAUAUGACCCGUCGCCAUGGACACAAGGGGGCGGAUAUCUAAAGUUAAAUAUUUUUAACUUACGCGUGAAAUGGUUGAUUUUAAAAAUAUAUAUAUUCUAAGUAAACAACAACAGCCCAGGUUUAGUAAACAUUUUUUUUAUUGAAACUAUAAAUAAAUAUUCUGCAUCCAUUUUAGGUGUGCCACUGUGGGUGGCUCCUGCACACCCUCGUGGCUACGCCUCUGCGUGACCCAAAUCUCGUUCGCACAUCAUCGCGAUGUUUAUCAUCAAUUUACAAACCUCGCCAGUCGCCUCAUCUUUAUUAGCCUAUCCCCUGUAUGUCAUCGAUGCGCUACUUCAAAGAUGUGAGGAAAAGAACAUACACCUGCGAGUAGUCUGUUACAUUGCCUGUGUUAUUGCCUCACAUUUGCAGAAAUCAGGGGAGGGCAUAUCACACAACAUUGCCUUAGACUUACCAGCAUUUCAUGUUUAUGGACACAAAUUGCCCUGCCAGAUCAAGUACAGUAUCAGAUGGCUUGAUGGGUUUGGGCUCACAGACGGGGAAGGAAUGGAAAGGCUGUGGUCUUUCCUCCAAAGAUUUGCCAGAGUCACAAAGGAGAUGAUUCCAUCUCAUCGCCUUGACCUACUGACUGAUGCCCUUUUGCAUUAUGGACGAAGGAAAUCAACUGACCUAGAGGUGCAGCUCCUGCAAAGAGUAGACAAAGCAGAGAAAAUAUUGAUUCUCGCUCCUCAAGAAGAUAUCUCAUGUCAUCAGAGAGGCACCAGUGUUGAUUUCUGAAGGAGACAUGGAGAGAUGGAAAAAGCUAGCCCAACAGAAACCAAUAAGUAAGGAACUGAAGUUAAAGUCUUAAAUACUACACUGUCUGUAGAUGGAAAAGGGUCUACAUCAUCAGACUGAUUCAGUUCUACAAGUUCAAAAUUGAGGACUCUGCUGAACAUUUAGGAAAAAAUACCGUAUCGGGAGAAGAUGGCAAGAGUCUGAUUCAAACUUCCAGUCUACCCUUAAAGAUGUGGACCGUGAGCUCAGAGUCCAAAUGCAAGGCUAGAACUGAAUCAAGGGAGAGAGCAGUCGUCCUCCACUUGAGAAGAAUAUAUCCAGCUUUGCUUCAGAUGGGCAGGGCAUUGCCAUUAGACUCUCCAAGCAGGUAGCCAAUUGAUUUUCAGGAAUCAUGUGAUCCCUCUUGGCAUGUCUACUUCUGCUUUAAUGACACUAUUGAAGAAGAUGAUGUUUCGAGGAGUCUAAAAAGGCGAGGGAUUGAUGCCUUACAUAUGAAGACUCGGAAAAGGAGAAGUCUAAGGGGCCAGUCACACCAAAAGCGUUUAUGGCAGUUGCAGGCGCCUUUUUUGAAUGAUAUUCUAUGGGCAGGGUGCGUUUGCGCGAUGUUUAUGUGAGCCGAGCGCCUUGCGUUUUUUUGCCGCCUGCCGCGCACGCAUUUUUGAAGGAGCGCUGAGAGCGGAGAAGCGCCCGACGUCAUUUGCGUCUUUCCAUUGUCCAAUCGAAUGAGGGGAGAGGCGGGCCUUACGUUGUGGUGAGUGAAGUUUACAGUUGCUUUGAAGAAGCGGACUCCACUCGCUCACUCUCUCCUGCGUGUUUGUGCACCUCUCACCCUCAAACAAGGUCAGAGCAAGCGCCCUCUUUUUAAAGUUUCUGCUAAUAUGACAGUUAACAGCAAAAGAGCCCUCACGCUUCAAUAUUUGAUUGACAAGACAGCUGACUCGGUGGUUGCUUACCAUUAUGAAAAGCCGCGUCGCACUGCUCUUUUUUUAAAAAAGGCAGUGCGUCGCGCCUUGCGUUUGCAAGCGUUUAAAGCGCUUUUGGUGUGACUGGCCCCUAACUGAACACCCCAUCAGCAGCAGGCCUCUAACAUUUGUGCUCUAACAUCAAAGACACUGAGCAGCCUGGUGCAAAAGCUGCUCUCAUUCAACACCUCCAACACCUGGAAAGAAAACUACAUCAAGCCAUUGUGAUGUUUCACCCACAUCUAUCGGACAUUGUUCCUGCAGACAACCCCCACUUGUGUCAUGCCCUCCCCAUGCCAAGCAUACAGACACUGGUAUACAAUGAUAAGAGUGAUAAUGAUGAAAAUGUGGAUAAAUAUGAUAACUAGCACUACAGAUUUUUUGUUAAUUUUUAGUCUGAUAUUGUAUUCUGUAAAAAGAAAGAUGUAAAAUGUAUAGUAUAUGUUGCAGCAUAUAGAAACCUUGGUGGUGUAGUAUAAUGUUCACCUUACUUGUCCAAACAUGAUGUUUUACUAGGUCUGAUUUAUUUUAAAGCGUAGGUACUGUUUUAAGCACACAUAUUCACACUAGUCUGUGUGAGGACAAAAUUGUGUGUUUACCAUUGUGAUGUUACUUAUUUACAGUAAUGUACAAAUGUGGUCAAUGUGUGUAAUGUGUUUUGUUUUUGAAUCCUUUUAAACAAAUACUGUAAAAGUUUGUAAAAAAUAAAAAGUUUUCCAAUAUGAGUUAUAGUCAUGAUUU